This 430-nucleotide ribosomal RNA is filed under the name Verrucomicrobiota bacterium. RNAcentral's name for it is "Verrucomicrobia bacterium partial 16S ribosomal RNA". It matches the Rfam family "Bacterial small subunit ribosomal RNA", at positions 355 to 776 of the family's 1533-position model. The record is from RNAcentral. Lineage: Bacteria; Pseudomonadati; Verrucomicrobiota.
UGGGGAAUCUUCCGCAAUGGGCGAAAGCCUGACGGAGCAACGCCGCGUGAGUGAAGACGGCCUUCGGGUUGUAAAACUCUGUGAUUCGAGACGAAAGAUAAGUAGACGAAUAAUCUGCAUAAGUGACGGUACCUAACCAGAAAGCCACGGCUAACUACGUGCCAGCAGCCGCGGUAAUACGUAGGUGGCAAGCGUUGUCCGGAAUUAUUGGGCGUAAAGCGCGCGCAGGUGGUUUAGAAAGUCUGAUGUGAAAGCCCACGGCUCAACCGUGGAGGGUCAUUGGAAACUAAUAAACUUGAGUGCAGGAGAGAAAAGUGGAAUUCCUAGUGUAGCGGUGAAAUGCGUAGAGAUUAGGAGGAACACCGGUGGCGAAAGCGGCUUUUUGGCCUGCAACUGACACUGAGGCGCGAAAGCGUGGGGAGCAAACAGG